RNAcentral lists this long non-coding RNA (9191 nucleotides) under Brachypodium distachyon (stiff brome). Its description in RNAcentral is "long non-coding RNA (BDIS_LNC005761)". The stretch from base 3688 to 3812 matches the Rfam family "MIR1120/MIR1122 microRNA precursor family". Lineage: Eukaryota; Viridiplantae; Streptophyta; Magnoliopsida; Poales; Poaceae. The record is from RNAcentral.
CACCACCACCACUUCCAUUUCCAUAUACCACCACCCCCACCAUCUUCCCCAGCCUUCCUCCCCUUUCUGCUGCAUUCCCUGCUCCACAAGGAAAAGGAUUGCUAGCCUAGGAGCCAUGGUGAGGAAGGAGACGAGCACGAGCAUGAGGCUCCCGCCUCAGCACCAGGGGCUGGAGGUCAAGAUCCCGAGCUUCUUCCGGUGCCCGAUCUCGCUGGACGUCAUGCGGUCGCCGGUGAGCCUCUGCACGGGCGUCACGUACGACCGCGCCUCCAUACAGCGGUGGCUCGACUCCGGCCACACCACCUGCCCGGCCACCAUGCUCCCGCUCCCCUCCACGGAUCUCGUCCCCAACCUCACACUCCGCAGCCUCAUCGCCCACUGGUCCGCCUCCGCCGCCUCCUGCUCCCCCGCCGCGGCCGGAUCCGUCGCCUUCUUCGCCGCCGGCCCUUCCCCCGCGGGGCUCGUCCGCCAGGUCGCUUCCUCCCUCGGCGGCGGCGCCGACCCUUCCCCCGCGCUCUGCGAGCUCGCGGCCUAUCUCUCCGACGACGACGUCGACGAGUUCGAGAAGAACGCGCUCGUGGGCGCCGGCCGCGCCGCGGAGACCGUCGCGUCCGUGCUCAGACGGAAAGGGGAUCAGAUCGUGAGCGUCGAGGGCGCCGAGGCUGCCGUGAGCGUACUCGCCGCGAUCGUCGCGCUGGACGGCAUCGAGGACGCGAACAAGAGGCGCGUCGCCACGGGCCUCGCCGUGGACGCGGCGGCCUCGGCCGCAUCGCUGGCGCGCGUCCUGCGUGGCGGGAGCGGCCUCGAGGCAAGGAUCGACGCGGCGCGGCUCGCGGGUUUCUUGCUGGACAAUGCCGACGCCGACGCGAAGGCGGCCGUGGCCGAAUCGUCCCAGCUGGUGGCCGAGCUGAUACGGCUCAUCGGGCCCGUCGACGAGAAAGGCAGCCUGGACAAGAAGGCCAUGGGCACCGGCCUCUCGUGCCUGGCCACGAUCUCAGGGCUACGCCGCGCGGCGCGCGCCGAGAUGGUGCGCCUCGGCGCCGUCUCGGCCGCGGUGCGCGCGCUCCACGCCACGGCGGAGCCCGGCGCGUCGGCCAAGGCGCUCCGGAUCCUCGAGUCCGCCGUGGGCUGCGCCGAGGGCCGCGCGGAGCUGUGCAAGGACGCGGAGGAGACCGUCCCUGCCGUGCUCGACAAGAUGAUGAAGUCCGGCCGCGACGGCGCCGAGGCCGCGGUGGCCGUGCUCUGGGCGGUGUGCCACAAGUACAAGGACCGCAGGGCCGCGGACGCCGCCGCGGCGUCCGAGGGCGGGCUGACGAGGCUGCUCCUGCUGCUGCAGAGCGGGUGCUCGCCGCCGGCCAGGCAGAUGGCCGUGGAGCUGCUCAAGAUAUACAAGGUGAACGCCAAAAGCUGCCUCGCCGGCUACGACUCCAAGACCACCCACAUCAUGCCGUUCUGACCCAAGCUAAACGAAUGGCUUGCAAGCUCGGAACAGAACAGGGGAUAAACUUGUUAUUCAUGUUUUCUUUGAUUUGUUUAAACUGUAAGUUGAUAGAGAAAGAGAAGAAUUGAUUCGUGAAGAAGAGAAAAAAUAUGUACAUUGGUAGAGUUUUGACAGAAGAAUAAUAAGUAUGAAAGUAAAUGGAGAUUGACAGCCAGAGAUAUACCAUUCGUGUGCCAAAACAUUUCAGGCGCUCACAGGAGUUCUGGAUUGAUAAUCUUCCAACUUCAUGCAAUCGACACGAGUUCUGGAUUGAUAAGCUUCCAACUUCAUGCAACAAGCGUGCACAUACGUAGUCCGCAGUCAUACUAAUCAUUCCCAUAGUAUGCGUCUGUAACACAAACUUCUCAGAAUUCACAAGUGACAUACUCUGCAGUCCUACUGACUUCAUGGACAGAGGAGCAUUUGCUCAUGGCUUAUCAGGUACACUAACCAGCUAGUUCCAUCAUGCUAAUGAUUCAAGAGUGUCGUUGGUUGGGGGUAGAUUACUGAUUACACAUCCGUAGCUUGAAAGCAACGCGCGUGCUCAUGAGUCAUGACAGAGGAUAAGCCUGAUCGAACAUCUCCACGUUGGCAUCCGAUCGAAGUCCCUGCUCGAUUUGACCCAUCUAGGAUCAUGUCCAGUUCACUCCACUCCACCCACAUGCUAGGAGGAAAGCAAAACGUCCCAAAGAUGCUUGAUCAACGGACUGGUCUCUGAGUAAACAGCUCGCUUGGCGUGUUAAGAAAACAAAGUAAUUCAGCACUGAAAAUCGUGCGUUCCGAUCGACAAACCGCGGCAGAACCCAAAGCAAGUUCUCCUUUUACGGGAGUUUUUCUUUUCCGCUGCAAGCGGGAUCGAAUCGACGAACCGUGGAAAGAUCUUCACGACCCAAAGGAUCCACGACUGCGAGCCUAACUUAAAGUUCGCCCUGCGUGCACGGUCGGUCGCCCACGGCCCCCCACCACAUACAACUGUGCACCAAAUUGCACAGCUAGCCGUCUCCUUGUCUUUAUAAAGCUAGCCGGGCAAACUUUUCCUGAUCUGUAUUUAGGCCCGAGUCAGGGCCGAACAUCGAAGCCAUCACGAGUCAAUGCCGUAUUAAUCGUUUAGGUGAUACGGGCAGUGGCGCUAGCGUUUAGUAGGCGAUACGGGGGGCAGUGGCGGUAGUUGACUGGCGAGGACGGAAGAUCCUUUUGGGGUUCUUAAUUAAUCAGAGACGGAGAUUAAGAAGUCGAGAAAGAAGAGCCGUAAAGGGUGGUGUGGGACAGUGGGAGAGAAGGCUAGUGGUGUUCAUUGUCCACGGUAGCUCCAUUUUAUUGACCGCGCAAGACGAUAUACGUGGAUGCCUACCCAAGUUGGCCGCCACUGCUUACUCGCUACGCAUUUUGACGCAAGACAGAAGUACGAUUCAGACGUGGCUGUUGACGAUGCUUCUUCUGGGAUAAUCAAGCGCCACUACGUCGUCCGGUCGGUGGCGCACUCCGGUGGUGCAGGACGCCGCCCCGAUGGCCGACGCCCGCGCUCUCACGGAUCGCGGCCAGAUCAGGCCCUGAUUCAGGAGGUGGCUCCGUCUCCGACACAGGGAUUGGCACCAUUGUCCCGUGCUCAAGGUAGAUGAACCCAGAACCCCCAACAUGGACCUGGAUCCUGAUCUGGCUGAUUCCAUUCCUUCCUAUUCUAUGCUAGGUAUUAUUAUGUUAAGGCUAAUUGGAGGAAUUGUAUACAUGCCAUACUUGCAAAAACAUUGAUAAACCACAAAUCGUCCAAAUGAUUAGCAUAAUGUUAAACUAGUGAGAUUGAUUUGCAAUCAAUUGAUGUUUUCAUAAUUGAUUGAAAUCUUUCCAAAUUGGUCUUUGCUUCCUAGGUGGACUACACAUAUUGGUCCUACGUGGACAACAAAUUUGAUGUUUCAUGCUAGUCCAACAAAUUUAUCCCUAACUAAGUCUUGACCGUUGAAGUAAGAUUUGAUUGUUAAAAUAAUCUGGAUGACAUGGAUCAACGCUGUGCUUCAAUUUGGUACCCCUCAAUGUCCCAGGUGACGCGCGGAAAACAUCUUUGCUUCCGAACUACUGCCUCCGUCCCAAUAUAUGAUGCAUGCACGCGUCCCAAGAUCAUCAAUUUAACUACCAAAAUAUAAAUUAUAUGACAUAAAAACAUAUCAUUAGAAAGUUUAUUUGAUUACGAAUCUAAUGAUAUUUUUUUUUAUGAAAUACUCCCUCCAUUUCAUAAUUCUUGUUGAAAUAUUAAAUGUAUCUAGACACUUUUUAGAAAUAGAUACAUCCAUUUUUGAACAAAUUUGAGACAAGAAUUAUGAAACGGAGUGAGUAUGAUUUAGAUUUUGCUAGUUAAAUUUGUAAUCUUGGUAUGCGUGCGUGCCUCGUAUAUUGGGACGGAGAAACUAUCAAUUAGGCAUGAAAAAUAUUCUUCUCAAGAACAGAUUAUACAAAAUACUAAAACCGAGAAACUUUUCCUAAAUACUUGCGCUGAUCAAUUAGCUGUGCUAAUCGGCCACGUUGAUCAAUUCCUAAAUACUUGCGCUGAUCGUACGAACACAUGAAGGAAUCGACAUUGAUCCAUAACGGAAAGAAAAAAAAAAUCAGCAAACAAGGGAAAUGGUUGUCCGGAGCUGGUUUAUGUGCCAAACACAUUUAUGAGAUGGAGUGGAGCUGAGAUGAAGGAAAGUUUAGAGGCGGAAUGAAGUUAGAUAUUGGAGCGGAACUUAGAUGGAGUGAAGCCCUCCCAAACGGACACUUAGUGUCUUAGUAUUAGCUUUUGGUUCUCAUAAGCCAAUAACCCAACCAAACACUUCGUUCUUAUGAACUCCAGGAACUGAAUAAUGGGCCUCAGGUUACUCUAAGAAAAACAAAAUGGGCCUGUGUCGAAAAGCAAUAAUGGGCCUCAGGUCAAACACUAGUAUAGUACAGCAAACCAAUAGAUUGAUCGCCACAGCUUCAUCCAUCCCAGAAAUAACUUGUUGGGCGUUAUCGCUCCUCUGGUCGUCUGCCCAACGUUAAUUCCGAAUUCACAUCUCUGACACGUCACACGUUUGCGGCAUCGAAAAAGGAAGAAUUCCGAAUUCAUAAAAGACACAUUGUUGCAACUGUGGUCAAGACUGAAAGUGCGAUGGCAUCUCAAAAAAAAAAUGAGCAAUGGAAAUAUAAAGCGUAACAUGUUCCCCCCGCAAAAAAAAAAGCUUAACAUGUUCAAGAUGAGACUCAAUAACAGUGCACCGUCCGGUUGUUGUUCAUCUCGACGAGUCGGGUCGCACCAAAAGACCCUUCAGCGCUGUUCCAGCACAGCUGCACAGGUACCCCAUCCAAUUCAACCCUGCUGCUCGGGCCUUUUGGUCCCAUCACGAGCUCUAUACUGCAUCGCCAUGCCACUAGACCAGGGCAUUGCUUUGUCCGGGCUCCGGCUUGCGACCUCACGAAAGAGGGGAACUGGCUCGGUUGCUGAUUCGCCAGUGCUUUCGGCUUCGGGCUUCGUCUAGAUUCACUCCAUGUCUCCAUGUGAGCCCAUGCUUCAUCUUUAGCUCGUUUCGGCAGCAGGAAAAGAGAACUCGGCCUCGUCCUCGAUCUCGAGACUAGCACGAAAGCACUGGAAUCAUAAAUUAUUUAUGCUCAAGCGGAGCGGACACACGUAUGCCCUUCGUCCCAUGCGUGGUUCCUGAAAAGCAUUCAGGGAAUCAUGUCGCUCGUACGCCCUCUGCAAAGGAAGAGAUUCUCGCGUGUGGACUUUGAUCCAUGCACCUAGGCACUGCUACCUAGCCAUGAAUGCAUGGUGCGUCAGAGUAACAGAGAGAGCGUAUAUGACAGUAGUGAAGAGUUGUUUUCCUUUUCUUCGAAGAGUCACAUGCGUUAGAAGUGCGUGAGAAUCUCUUCUACCCGAAUGAAGAAUCACUGUCUCGCAACAAAAAAAGAAAAAGAAUGAAGAAUCACACCACUGGCAAGGACGAACAGGGGGCGUGUUCAUACCUGGGGUGGGGAAAACUGUUUGGAAGCAUAUGUGUGCACACAGGCUCUCAGUGGCACACGAUGACUGCUAAUCGAUGUAACAAAUGGAUUUAGCCAAUCUCAGCCAUCGUAACAAAUGGAGUACAUUCCCAGGCCUGUGCAUACGGUAACAUGACGUUGUCAUCUUACCUGGUUCAUUGUGAGAUUAUUUUUACCAAAAGGGAAGUAAAAUGGAAGUGCUUGCUAUAUAGAGUAAUUUUAAACACUUGUACGGAGAAAGUGAUUGCUAGUCUCAUGAUCAUGUGGAGCGAGGGCAUCCUUAUCGAAACCGCCAGCUAUUGACAAAGCACCUCGUUUCGGCACGCCAAUGUGAAACAUUACGAAAGCAAAGCUAAGCUAGAUGAGGGGUGAAUUGCAGAAUGGGUGAAAAUAUGCGCAGGCACGUAAAUAUCAGAGCAAUUAUUGGGUCCUGAGUCCUGACUAUGUUGUCCGUACCCUGUUAACAUUACAUGUAGUUCAGUAUCUUUGUCUAGCUACUACCUAGCUCUCACUACGGUUCAGCAUAUGUUCGUUACAAACAUCCCUACACCGAGGUAUUUAUUGAAAGUACACUAGCUAAAUAACGGUGUUAUGCUUCGAGAUAACUUGGUCAGCAUUUGUUUGUGUGUACAGAAUUAGCUAGCAGCGACCAAUCACAGAUAGGACGACUUCACCGACGGGGACAAUUCUCUUAGACGUCAGAUUAGUGCGUCGUCCAAUAUGAUUUUUAAACUACUCCAUUAUUAGUACUAGCAUUUCUCUUCAUGUGCCGACCAAUUUAAACGCCGAUUCCACCUUCGAGUGUUUUCGGUGUCAGCAUCAUUAAAGACGAGAAUUGUUAGCGUCUCGAUUUCUGGGGGGCAGAGCAAUCUCUCCCUGUUUUCCUGCAAGCAUGGCGGAGGGAAGAAGACAAUUGUCUCCAGCCUUUCAGAAAGAGGCGAUCAGACUGAGGUGAGAGCUUUCGCCACACACUUGUGGGCAGCACCGUCCGUUCGUGACAGUAGUAUUCCAUGUGUCUUGCUCCGAUGAAUUUACAGCAGAUUCAUUGCAAAAUCUGGAGAUAUAUAGCAGUAAUGCCACUUGCAUAGUCAAAUGGGUGAGAUUUUGAUUUAGACACAAGUAAAUUGGUCGUUACAAUUAUUGCAUCUAUCUAGUAUACCAAAGGCAAAAACAAAAUGAUGUCCGAAGUGAACCAUCAUCCAUGUCAUCUGAAUUAUUUUGGCAUUUGGAUCAUAUAUUUACGGUGAAUAUUCAAUAAGAAAAUGAUAUUUGACGGUACAACAAUGAAACAUUGAAGUGGUUUAAGGCUCAUGUGGGUCCGAUAUGUAUUUUUGUUGUUUUAUCCACGAGUCAGAAGAAUAUUCUCUAUACUAUAAUUUUACGGAGUAAGUAGUAAUCGCACCUCCAUUUACGGAGUAAGUAGUACUCGCACCUCCAUUCGCCGUAAUCUAUAAUAUAAUUUUAAAAAUUGCAAUAAACUGGUACUUGCAAAGUUAUAACUCUACAAACGUAUAAGCUACAUUUUUAAUAAUUGUUACUGAAUAACAUAACCUAUGAGUUAUUGACUGCCUAGCGAACCAUACAUUCACUAAUCAAAAUUGCUUCAAAGUAAAAAAAAACUCGCGAUCUAAAUUUAACCCGGAUAUUGAUAUAAUAAUUUCAUAAAACAUUAAUAUCACAUUAUGGUUUAUUAUCACAAAUAAUCUACAAACUAAUAUAAGUUGGCAAAUAACCGAUUGACCAAUUCGGUAUGUGAACUUUAAUUUUUCAUUGUCCCAUGGUUCAAAUCACAUAAGAACCUACAAAUUUUCAUUGACAAAAAGUCUAUCAAUAAGAUUUAGGAAACACAUUUUCCGUGACACUAAAGUGUUGUGUUUGUCUAUCAAUUUUUUUAUUUGGACUGUGUGUAUCAAUGACUUCCUUCGUAUCUUUUUUUUUUCGAGAAAAAACACUAUGAAAAAAAAAGCAUGGCCUAGUAGUUGAUCGCCAGUGCAAGGAUCUAGAGUGUAUCCUUUCAUGAUCUUCUUUAAUUUGUUGCCUUAGAUUUGAAUUUUUCAUAAGAAAUUGAAAUUUAUCAACAACUCUAACUUGUUACUCCGUAUUUCAACCCACGUGAAGCAAUGAUACACUUUUUAGCCUUUUCACAGCUGUUAAAAAAAAGUACUGUUACUACAUAAAGCCAUGAUUAUAAUAAGGAACAGUAUUAGGGCAGGGCGCCUAUGCCCUCACCUAUCAGGCAAUCGUCAUUUCUCUCUGCUAGUCCUGCAUUAUCGUGUGAUCCCGGUCAGGCUUUCACAUGGCCGUACUGUGAAACGCUUGCAUCGAGACGUUAUACUGGAGGACAUGCCUGCAUUGAGCAAUGUAAAUACCACCUGCUCCUCUGGGCCCCCCUACCUUGGCAACAACUAGCUUUUUUUUUUUCGAACACUGGCCACUAGCUAGGCUAGGCUCUCUCGUCUCGAAGGUCUCAGACUACUCCUACACGGUACACCCCCGGCUCCGGCCGGAGUGACCAACGGGGAAGCCUCCCUCUCUCCCCCACAUGCUUAUCCUCUCGCCACAGUACGCCCCAUCACAUGCGCCCGCAAGCAUCCAAGAGUGCCCCGUGUAUAUAAAGAGUGGCAUGGGUUACCAUUUUUCUCACAACCACACUGAUCCAAGCUUGCCAAAGAGUAGGCACUGCAGUGAGGGAGUGAGUGAGAAUGGGUGGCAAAGCCGUUCUCCUGGUGGCCCUCUUGGCCGUGAGCCUGGUGGUCCAGAUCCAGGCGGACAGCGGCUACACCCCGACGCCGGUGACCCCGUCUCCCAAGCCCGAGAAGCCACCCAAGGGCCACAAGCCGCCCCACCACCACCACCACGCCAAGCCUCCGGCUGGCUCCCACAAGCCGGCGCCUCCCACGGCCACUCCUCCCACGCCGGCGUACAAGCCACCCACGGCCACGCCUCCGGCUCCGACGCCACCGAAGUACACUCCGUCCCCGAAGCCACCGACGCCUAAGCCCACACCACCCACGUAUACCCCGACCCCGAAGCCGCCCACUCCCACACCAAAGCCCACGCCGCCAACGUACAAGCCGGCACCCAAGCCCACUCCUCCCACGUAUAAGCCCACACCCAAGCCCUCGCCGCCGACGUACCCGCCGAAGCCAACACCACCCACCUACAAGCCGGCGCCGAAGCCGACUCCCCCGACCUACAAGCCGGCGCCGAAGCCGACACCGCCCACCUACAAGCCCGCGCCGAAGCCGACGCCCCCGACCUACAAGCCGGACCCCAAGCCGACUCCCCCGACGUACAAGCCCGCGCCGAAGCCGGCCCCCAAGCCUACGCCCCCGAACUACAAGCCGGCGCCGAAGCCGACGCCGCCGUCGUACAAGCCGGCCCCGAAGCCCACUCCCCCGGCACCGAAGCCCACGCCGCCGACACCACCAGCCUACAAGCCGGCGCCGAAGCCGAGCCCUCCGACGCCCGCCCCGCCGGCGUACAAGCCUCCGACUCCGACUCCUCCGGCGUACAAGACCCCCACUCCGAGCCCGCCGCCGCCGCCCUACCACCACUAAGAUCCAUCACUCUCUUUAGUUGGGAGCACAGGUGAGCAAUGCGGCAAUCUCAGUCUAUGCAUGCAUGAUGCAUGCAUGAAACGCAGACUGUAUCUACAUUUCCCUUUCAAAGUGCAAAGGACGAAACUUAAGACGUGAUUACUUGUGUUUUGCAGAAU